UGAAGAAUAUUGGGCAAUGGGGGAAACCCUGACCCAGCAACGCCGCGUGAGGGAAGAAGGUUCUCGGAUUGUAAACCUCUGUCCCAUGGGAAGAAAAAAAUGACGGUACCAUGGGAGGAAGCCCCGGCUAACUACGUGCCAGCAGCCGCGGUAAUACGUAGGGGGCAAGCGUUGUCCGGAAUUAUUGGGCGUAAAGGGUGCGUAGGCGGCCCAUCAAGUUGGAUGUGAAAUCCCCGUGCUUAACAUGGGAAUUGCAUUCAAAACUGAAGGGCUUGAGUGUGGAAGAGGUAAGUGGAAUUCCCAGUGUAGCGGUGAAAUGCGUAGAUAUUGGGAGGAACACCAGUGGCGAAGGCGACUUACUGGGCCACAACUGACGCUGAGGCACGAAAGCGUGGGGAGC
Molecule: ribosomal RNA, 400 nt
Filed under: uncultured bacterium
Lineage: Bacteria
Description: bacterial SSU rRNA
Rfam family: Bacterial small subunit ribosomal RNA
Source: RNAcentral